Molecule: transfer RNA, 70 nt
Filed under: Caridina longshan
Lineage: Eukaryota; Metazoa; Arthropoda; Malacostraca; Decapoda; Atyidae
Description: tRNA-Trp
Source: RNAcentral
AAGGUUUUAAGUUAAAAAAACUAGUAACCUUCAAAGUUCCCCAUAAGAGUCCGCAGUCUCUUAAACCUUA